Molecule: small RNA, 319 nt
Filed under: Histoplasma ohiense
Lineage: Eukaryota; Fungi; Ascomycota; Eurotiomycetes; Onygenales; Ajellomycetaceae
Description: hypothetical lncRNA
Source: RNAcentral
CCAUGGGAGAACCGCUGGCAUUGCACCGAGUGUCAUAUAUACUCACCAAAAUCGUGUUUUGAAGCGUGUGGACAAGUAGCUCUCACGGGACAGAAGAUGGUAUUUUGGAGUUAAUCAUGGUGAAUCAAGGUGCAAAAGCAAAGCGGAAUCUCUGAGAGAUACUUGUUUGAGAUCUUUUUGAACUCGAGGGGAGUCUCUUUCUUACGCUGGGCUUGGGAAUGUCAACGCGAAGCUCCCCAUGUUUGUUUCGAGUGUGCUUCACCAACGCAUCCAAUGUUCUGUCCAUCAGUCCACAUAAUUUGUCUCUAUAUAUCUACGU